AAAACAUGUCUUUUUGAUAAUAAUUUAAAGUCUAAUCUGCCCACUGAUAAUAUAUUAAAGGGCUGCAGUAUAUUGACUGUACAAAGGUAGCAUAAUCAUUAGUCUUUUAAUUGAAGACUUGUAUGAAAGAUUUGAUGAAAUAUAAACUGUCUCUAAUUUAUGUUUAGAAAUUAAUUUUUUAGUUAAAAAGCUAAAAUAAUAUUAAAAGACGAGAAGACCCUAUAGAGUUUUAUAUUUUAUUUAAUUAAUAUUAAAUAUAUAAUUAAAUAUAUUAAUUAAAUAAAAUAUUGUGUUGGGGUGAUAGAAAAAUUUAAUAAACUUUUUUUAAAAUUAAACAUAAAUAAGUGAUUAGUUGAUCCAUUAAUAAUGAUUAAAAGAAAAAAUUACCUUAGGGAUAACAGCGUAAUAUUUUUUUUUAGUACAUAUAAAAAAAAAAGUUUGCGACCUCGAUGUUGGAUUAAGAUAAAAUUUAAAUGCAAAAGUUUAAAAUUUUGAUCUGUUCGAUCAUUAAAAUCUUACAUGAUCUGAG
RNAcentral lists this ribosomal RNA (529 nucleotides) under Junonia orithya. RNAcentral describes it as "partial 16S ribosomal RNA". The stretch from base 394 to 529 matches the Rfam family "Bacterial large subunit ribosomal RNA", at positions 2473 to 2609 of the family's 2925-position model. The record is from RNAcentral. Lineage: Eukaryota; Metazoa; Arthropoda; Insecta; Lepidoptera; Nymphalidae.